UCUAAAUGUAUAUCUUAAAAUUGGUAUUUUAAAACAUAACUCCAAAUCUUAGAUUUAAAUUCUAAAAUUAGUUUUUUCAAACUUUAACUUAAAAUCACAAUCUUUAAACAAUAAGUCUAUUUUCAUUAACCUUAAUUUCAAUUUUCUACAAAUAUUUUGUGACUUUCUGUAUUAAAAAGAAAACAAAAUAAUAAAAAAAUCUGAUUGGUCAAAAACUGACCACUAAGGUGCAAGUGCGAGGAUCACACUUUCUUUUAACCACAGCCAAUAGAUUAAACUAAAUCCAAUGGCCAAUAAUGAACAAACUUAAAAUGUGUUUCUUCUAAAAACCAAAUCGACAUCGUGUUCUUUAUCCUUUUUCGAUCUUCUUCAUCCUUACACAACCACCAUCACUAUAACCUCUGACGCCGCCAUCUCGCCGUCAAUGAAGCUAUCUCAACCACCAUAAGCUCAGCCGCUGCCAUCAUCAUCUUCAUCUCGAUCUCCUUGUUCUCUACUAAACCUCACCAGCAGACUUUGCCUCCGUGUCCACCACAGCUCGUCGUCGUUACAACCACAUCUCCAUCGUCACCACCAUAGCUUCGUCCAGAGGCUACGAUAAAGAAAUCGUUUCACCUCUUCACCACAACGACAGAUCUAAGAAGGAACAGGGAAGGAGAAUAAGUUGUGUUACAGAGCAGCGUAUCCGCUUUAAGGAGAUAUCUUUCCGGAGUCGGAACGAGGGAGUGGAGUCGGACCUGUGUUGUAUUCUGUAGGAGAGAUGUUGACACGGGAAGGAGAAUUGGUGGAGGAGUUUGUGAUGCUGGAUAAUGGAAGCGUGUUUGAAAGCGUUGACGGUGUGGAGGAGCCAGUAAAGGUGGCGGCGAGGUGAAGCUCUGAGAAUAUUAGAGAUAUUAGUUUUUUUUGUUUUUUUUUGGUUUACAAUUAAACCAAAUUUGUCUUUUUUUAAUGUUUUUUUUGUUUAAUGUGUAAACUGAUUUAAUUGUAAACUGAUUAUAAUUAAUGAAUAGAUUUUA
Long non-coding RNA from Raphanus sativus (radish), 1016 nucleotides. RefSeq lists it as uncharacterized. The transcript is spliced from 2 exons. NCBI's taxonomy places the organism in Eukaryota, Viridiplantae, Streptophyta, Magnoliopsida, Brassicales, Brassicaceae. The record is from RefSeq and is a predicted model, not a curated record.